This 421-nucleotide ribosomal RNA is filed under the name uncultured bacterium. RNAcentral's name for it is "partial 16S ribosomal RNA". It matches the Rfam family "Bacterial small subunit ribosomal RNA", at positions 360 to 773 of the family's 1533-position model. The record is from RNAcentral.
AAUCUUCCACAAUGGGCGAAAGCCUGAUGGAGCGACUCCGCGUGAGUGAAGAAGGAUAUCGGAUCGUAAAACUCUGUUGUAAGGGAAGAACAAGUACAGUAGUAAUGGGCUGUACCUUGACGGUACCUUAUUAGAAAUCCACGGCUAACUACGUGCCAGCAGCCGUGGUAAUACGUAGGUGGCGAGCGUGCUCCGGAAUUAUUGGGAUUAAAGGGCGCGCCGGAGGUCCUUUAAGUCUGAUGUGACAGCCCACGGCUCAACCGUGGAGGGUAAUUGGAAACUGGGGGACUUGAGUGCAGAUGAGGAAAGUGGAAUUCCAAGUGUAGCGGUGAAAUGCGUAGAGAUUUGGAGGAACACCAGUGGCGAAGGCGACUUUCUGGUCUGUAACUGACGCUGAGGCGCGAAAGCGUGGGGAGCAAAC